This 305-nucleotide ribosomal RNA is filed under the name uncultured bacterium. RNAcentral's name for it is "bacterial SSU rRNA". It matches the Rfam family "Bacterial small subunit ribosomal RNA", at positions 336 to 639 of the family's 1533-position model. The record is from RNAcentral.
UUCCUACGGGACGCAGCAGUGAGGAAUAUUGGUCAACGGUCGGGAGACUGAACCAGCCAAGCCGCGUGAGGGAUGAAGGUACAGAGUAUCGUAAACCUCUUUUGUCAGGGAACAAAGGCGGGGACGUGUCCCCGGAUGAGUGUACCUGAAGAAAAAGCAUCGGCUAACUCCGUGCCAGCAGCCGCGGUAAUACGGAGGAUGCGAGCGUUAUCCGGAUUUAUUGGGUUUAAAGGGUGCGUAGGCGGAAGGUUAAGUCAGCGGUCAAAUGUCGGUGCUCAACACCGGCCUGCCGUUGAAACUGGUCU